UGUCCAAGGAUGGGAAUCGAACCCACAGUGUUCCGCUUACCGGGCAGAUGCCAUGUCCACUAGGCUAUAUUUAC
RNAcentral lists this transfer RNA (74 nucleotides) under Cordylochernes scorpioides. RNAcentral describes it as "tRNA-Thr". The record is from RNAcentral. Lineage: Eukaryota; Metazoa; Arthropoda; Arachnida; Pseudoscorpiones; Chernetidae.